UGAAUAUGCUACCUUGGUGCUAUCCAGAUGGUUACGGAUAUGCAUGAGCCAUAAUGGAUUGCUUUGUCUCUCAUCUCAGUACUUCCUUUUCUUCUACCCUAAAAUGUGAGGUGGUGUUGUCAUGACUACUAAAAAGUGAACUAGACUCACUUUGGCAGCCUUUGUUCCUGGGGAGAGUCAGAUCUAAAAAUUGCUGAUGGGGGAUACUUAGCAAUGCUGUUCCCACGACAACCCACGUCCAGUUCUCGCCACUUGUGUUUGCAGCAAGGAACGUUUCAGCGAACACGUGCAUCUCUGAUGUGAUAGUCAGUCUUCCCUCGUGUCCGAGGGAACUCGUGCAAGUUCUCACAGAGGCUGAUCAUGUGGCCACACUUGUGUAAAUUUUCAUGGGGACAAUAAAGGCGGAUCCCAGGGUGCCCCCCUGCCAAAUUCCAAGUCCCUGUUCUAAAGCAUGGAGAUGUUAGAGGUUCU
Molecule: non-coding RNA, 471 nt
Organism: Caretta caretta (loggerhead turtle)
Lineage: Eukaryota; Metazoa; Chordata; Testudines; Cheloniidae
Source: RefSeq, a predicted model, not a curated record